GGAGGGGGCCAGCGUUGUUCGGAAUCAUUGGGCGUAAAGGGCGCGUAGGCGGCCGAGCAAGUCAGAGGUGAAAUACUCCGGCUCAACUGGGGAAUUGCCUCUGAAACUGCUCGGCUUGAGUCCUGGAGAGGGUAGUGGAAUUCCCAGUGUAGCGGUGAAAUGCGUAGAUACUGGGAGGAACACCGGUGGCGAAGGCGGCUACCUGGACAGGUACUGACGCUGAGGCGCGAAAGCUAGGGGAGCAAACAGGAUUAGAUACCCUGGUAGUCCUAGCUGUAAACGAUGGGCACUUGGUGUUGCGGGUAUCGACCCCCGCAGUGCCGAAGCUAACGCAUUAAGUGCCCCGCCUGGGGAGUACGGUCGCAAGGCUG
This 371-nucleotide ribosomal RNA is filed under the name uncultured bacterium. Its description in RNAcentral is "bacterial SSU rRNA". It matches the Rfam family "Bacterial small subunit ribosomal RNA", at positions 527 to 896 of the family's 1533-position model. The record is from RNAcentral.